UCGGAAACGAAGGAUCCGACCCGUGUCCAACCGCACCUGAAGAAGUGUUUCGAGGGUAUCGCAUCGCUCAACUUUACCGAGGCGCUCGACAUUACGGUCAUGCGGUCGAGCGAGGGUGAAGAGGUGGAUCUGGUUGAGGAGGUGUCCACGAGCAAGGCGAAGGGGCAGGUGGAGAAGUGGUUGCUCG
RNAcentral lists this long non-coding RNA (187 nucleotides) under Anopheles stephensi (Asian malaria mosquito). RNAcentral's name for it is "rhabdomyosarcoma 2 associated transcript conserved region 9". Lineage: Eukaryota; Metazoa; Arthropoda; Insecta; Diptera; Culicidae. The record is from RNAcentral.